UACGUAGGGUGCGAGCGUUGUCCGGAAUUAUUGGGCGUAAAGAGCUUGUAGGCGGUUUGUCGCGUCUGCUGUGAAAAUCCGGGGCUCAACCCCGGACUUGCAGUGGGUACGGGCAGACUAGAGUGUGGUAGGGGAGACUGGAAUUCCUGGUGUAGCGGUGGAAUGCGCAGACUAUCGGGAGGAACACCAGUAGCGAAGGCGGCACUCUGGGCCGGAACUGACGCUGAGGCGCGAAAGCGUGGGGAGCGAUCCGG
Molecule: ribosomal RNA, 254 nt
Filed under: uncultured bacterium
Lineage: Bacteria
Description: partial 16S ribosomal RNA
Rfam family: Bacterial small subunit ribosomal RNA
Source: RNAcentral